Molecule: microRNA, 23 nt
Filed under: Bovine leukemia virus
Lineage: Riboviria; Pararnavirae; Artverviricota; Revtraviricetes; Ortervirales; Retroviridae
Description: BLV-miR-B1-5p
Source: RNAcentral
CAGGCUGUGGUGGUGCACUGGCU